CACGGAGGAUCCAAGCGUUAUCCGGAAUCAUUGGGUUUAAAGGGUCCGUAGGCGGUUUUGUAAGUCAGUGGUGAAAGCCCAUCGCUCAACGGUGGAACGGCCAUUGAUACUGCAAGACUUGAAUUAUUGGGAAGUAACUAGAAUAUGUAGUGUAGCGGUGAAAUGCUUAGAGAUUACAUGGAAUACCAAUUGCGAAGGCAGGUUACUACCAAUAUAUUGACGCUGAUGGACGAAAGCGUGGGGAGCGAACAGG
This 253-nucleotide ribosomal RNA is filed under the name uncultured bacterium. Its description in RNAcentral is "partial 16S ribosomal RNA". It matches the Rfam family "Bacterial small subunit ribosomal RNA", at positions 524 to 776 of the family's 1533-position model. The record is from RNAcentral.